AAAAAACACUUUAAAAUGGUCACCCGCUCCCAUUUACGUCUCACUUGAAGUCCUAAUCUUCUAUUUGCGACAUUAGAAUCCUCUCCAGUGGCAACUAAUUGUGGUGUCACAAACAAAGGAUUAUAACUACUUGAGGAAUAAGCAGUGGAGAGGAAAGGUCCUGUCUCCAUGUCAGUGUUUCUGGCAAAUCUGUUCUUCAAGACACAAAAUACAGCAUCCAUCUGAUUCUCACAUGCGAUAGUAACAAUAAGGCCUAACAUCUCUUGAGUCUCUGGGCCCCCCUUGCGUUACCAGUAGGAUGUGAGAAGUGGACACACCGUCCUGGCCUGAGCCCUAAGACCACAGCUUGUUACAUCCGACCCCCUGGUUUGUCUUCAUCGGGACUCUCAGUUACAAAUGACAGAAACAUCAUUAAAACUCCUUUAUGCGUUUGGAAAAGGAGGAGAGUUACUGGCUCAAGCCCUCCGUUGCGACCACAGGGAGAUACCUCCUGCCUCCUGAGGCACGGACCCUCUCCUCUCCGGGUACCCAGAGUACAACGAGAAUCUCUCCCUGGCAGUUUAUGGUGUUUGCUGAACCAGCCACAGCGGGCAGGUGGCACGAUGGUCACAUUCCCACAGCUGCAGGCAGCUCCACCCAAGCCACGGGGACGGUUACAGAAGGGGGUGUGUGGGGUCGCCACACAACCCAAGCCGAACAAAGAAGCCCCCCUAAAGCAGAGCUCUGUCUCCCACCUUCUGCGAGGCUCAGCUUUGCAUCCCCAAGACAGGCCCGAAUGCUUCUCUAGGACAAUAAACAUCAUUUGAUGAUCCCCGUGUUUUCAGUCUCCGCCUUGAGAGUGUGAUCCCUGCAGACCUCAAACAACGGAGGACCAAAUGACGAUGACCAUCACUCUGCGCUUCGCUAUGUCGCUUGGGGAUUUGGUCACUUUAGAGAUCUGCUUCACGAUUUCCGUUGGAAUCAGGGGGUUCAGGGAGGUCAGGCCACUCACUGGAUUUUGGUUUAUCAUCUCAGAGGCCUCAUAGUAUGAUUGAUGAAGGGGCUUAUGCUUGGGACUCAGGCGACCGAGGUCUUACUUUGGGCCCCACUGCAGACUUGCUGGGUGACCUUGGGAAAAUGAUUUAAUGUCUCCGAGUCUCGUUUUCCCGACCAUCAAAUUGGAGGCCCCAGGCUUACCAACCUACGAGCACUCCCCUAGCCAGCUGAGGAAGGCGCUACAGCUGAAAUUAAUUCCACGAAAUUUUGGAACUAGGCCCCAAAUAAGUAGCAAGCGCUACUUUGCAGGGGGGAGGCUGGAGAGAACUCCGCGUGUGGAAUAACAGCUCACCGCUGACCUCAGCCAUGCUCCAUGAGGACAAAGUAGGGGGUAGGGCUGUGUCAUCUGAGUCUUGAUAUAAAAGUUAAUUAAAAAUGUAUGCCCAGGCUGAAGGAGGACACCUAGUGAAUUAGUGAUGGCCCUCGGAUGUCUACCUUUCAGGGGUGACAGCAUCCGUACAGAAGGCCGGAGGUGGCCCUGGAGGGAGGCCCUGCGAGGAGCCAGGUAACCGAGAGCCCAGCUCGGAAGGUCCUCGUCACCUGGUUUUGGGUGUAGCCAUUGGGUGUAGCCACGGUGCAGAAGGAGGCUGCCUUUGAGUAUUAGGUUAACGUGACUCAUUUAGCAGGAGUCGUGGGGCAAACGCUGUGCCUCCCGCAGCACCGGGGCACGCGCGGGCCCACCCCGCCGCCUUCUGCGGCCCAACCUGCUGGCUGCAGCGAACCCAGCACCACUGGAGUCGAAAAGAGGGGCCCCGUCGCAGGAGUGGGGACCCUACGGAGAUGACAGAGUGGCCUGGCCGCCUGCCGGGAGCCCGUGACCUCUGAGGUCGAGCAGGCCCCCAACCUCUCCCUGGCACACUGAGGCCUAGCCCAGCUGCUGUCAAAUGCUUCUCCUGUCCUGAGUCCUCGUGGGAGUCUCUCUACUGGAUCCUCACCGCCUAAGAACUUGAAACCCACCAGAGCUGGAGGGAACCCUCCUGCUUUUCAUAGGAAGGGUGGUAGGAGAGCCAAGAAACCCUCCAGGGAGCACUCAGGAGAGGGGCCUCCUCCUGUCGGCGGGCACCGAGCCGUGGGCCCUGGACUGCAUGCCCUGCCCGUAAAGGGAAGGCCCGGGGCAGGGGCGCUGGGAAGCUACCCAGGCCCUCCCUGGCUCCUCGCGUCCCGGGCAAACGCACAAUCUCCGGUCUUAGGCACAGGGAAAGUCAGCCCCCAGCAGUGGUGAGGAGGAGACAGCUCAGAGAACGAUCCAGUGUGAGGAGAGCAAGAUGAGGAAUGCCAGGUGGCCCCAGGCUCGCAAAACGUGUGCCAGAAGCCAGUCACUGAGGUUGGGAGGUGGCCGCAUCGGGCUGGCAGGUGGAGAGGGGACCUAGAGCUCAGAGAGCGUGCAUUUGGGGUCAUCAGCCACAGGGAGUUAACACUUAGAGGGUGAAAAAAGAAAAAAACACUUAGAGGGUGGAUGAGUCUGUGGACAGGGGUGAUGAGUAUAGGAAUAACCAAAACACCUCAUUUUAAGGUCCAUCCUUUGUUCAAGAGAUGCUGGGUUUUCUCUGCCAGGUCACUGUUCAGUGAUUAGGAAGUGCAAAUGUGAUGAUUGUCACAUACAAACCUGGAAACAACUUUAAAGUCCCAGUUAAGAGGACAGCCAGAGGUCACGCCUCAGCACCUUCCAAGCUUUGACAGAUGUGCUGGGGAAGCUUCCCUGACCCCCACCCCACCCCCAAGGCCCGAUGGAUGCCUCCUCCAUCUGCUCGACAUGCACCUCCUCGAUUUCAGGCCUUCCUCUGCUCAGUAUACUCAGUCCCCCGAGUGCUGGAACAGUCAUUGGCGCCGGGAAGGGAGUCAUGAAUGAAUGAAUGAAUGAAUGAAUGAAUGAAUGAAUGAAUAAAUAAAUUUAAUCACCAAUCUUUCUACUAAAC
Vulpes vulpes (red fox) is the source of this 2951-nucleotide long non-coding RNA. NCBI's taxonomy places the organism in Eukaryota, Metazoa, Chordata, Mammalia, Carnivora, Canidae. The record is from Ensembl.